RNAcentral lists this ribosomal RNA (576 nucleotides) under Meloidogyne javanica (root-knot nematode). RNAcentral's name for it is "eukaryotic LSU rRNA". It matches the Rfam family "Eukaryotic large subunit ribosomal RNA", at positions 428 to 910 of the family's 3401-position model. Lineage: Eukaryota; Metazoa; Nematoda; Chromadorea; Rhabditida; Meloidogynidae. RNAcentral also lists the same sequence under 2 other names. The record is from RNAcentral.
GACCUCUGAGCUCCAGAUUGGGACAGAGGGAAUCAGCAUAAUUUUUUGUGGUGCAUUUACUUGAUUGGUGCUUGGGGAUGUUUGAGGCAGAUUUGUUUCCGUCGUUUUGAGGCCAGCUUGCUGGUACCCAAACGGUGUUAGCAUUUUUUGUCUUGGGCAUUUGAGUAUGGCUCACGUGUAUUUAUUGGACAGAUCUGAGUGUAAGUUACGGUCGCAUGCGACACGUGCUUUUCAAUUAGUUCGGUCCAGUUAAUGCUCUCGUACUCGUUCCCCAUGUAAAAGCCGGUCAUCUAUCCGACCCGUCUUGAAACACGGACCAAGGAGUUUAUCGUGUGCGCAAGUUUUUGGGUGUUAAAAACUUAAAAGCGAAAUGAAAGUAAAUGACUCUUUAGAGUCUGAUGUGCGAUCUUGUAAAAAAGUGUAGCAUGGCCCCAUUCUAACUGUUUACAGUAGGGUGGCGGAAGAGCGUACGCGGUGAGACCCGAAAGAUGGUGAACUAUUCCUGAGCAGGACGAAGCCAGAGGAAACUCUGGUGGAAGUCCGAAGCGGUUCUGACGUGCAAAUCGAUCGUCUGAC